GAUGAACGCUGGCGGCGUGCCUAAUACAUGCAAGUCGAGCGAACAGACGAGGAGCUUGCUCCUCUGAUGUUAGCGGCGGACGGGUGAGUAACACGUGGAUAACCUACCUAUAAGACUGGGAUAACUUCGGGAAACCGGAGCUAAUACCGGAUAACAUGUUGAACCGCAUGGUUCAACAGUGAAAGACGGUCUUGCUGUCACUUAUAGAUGGAUCCGCGCCGCAUUAGCUAGUUGGUAAGGUAACGGCUUACCAAGGCAACGAUGCGUAGCCGACCUGAGAGGGUGAUCGGCCACACUGGAACUGAGACACGGUCCAGACUCCUACGGGAGGCAGCAGUAGGGAAUCUUCCGCAAUGGGCGAAAGCCUGACGGAGCAACGCCGCGUGAGUGAAGAAGGUCUUCGGAUCGUAAAACUCUGUCAUUAGGGAAGAACAAAUGUGUAAGUAACUAUGCACGUCUUGACGGUACCUAAUCAGAAAGCCACGGCUAACUACGUG
This 497-nucleotide ribosomal RNA is filed under the name uncultured bacterium. RNAcentral's name for it is "partial 16S ribosomal RNA". It matches the Rfam family "Bacterial small subunit ribosomal RNA", at positions 28 to 507 of the family's 1533-position model. The record is from RNAcentral.